This 336-nucleotide ribosomal RNA is filed under the name uncultured bacterium. Its description in RNAcentral is "bacterial SSU rRNA". It matches the Rfam family "Bacterial small subunit ribosomal RNA", at positions 335 to 664 of the family's 1533-position model. The record is from RNAcentral.
ACUCCUACGGGAGGCAGCAGUGGGGAAUAUUGCACAAUGGGGGAAACCCUGAUGCAGCCAUGCCGCGUGUGUGAAGAAGGCCUUCGGUUGUAAAGCACUUUCAGUAGGGAGGAAGGUAGUGUAGUUAACACCUGCAUUAUUUGACGUUACCUACAGAAGAAGCACCGGCUAACUCCGUGCCAGCAGCCGCGGUAAUACGGAGGGUGCGAGCGUUAAUCGGAAUUACUGGGCGUAAAGCGCAUGCAGGCGGCCUGUUAAGUCAGAUGUGAAAGCCCGGGGCUUAACCUCGGAAUUGCAUUUGAAACUGGCAGGCUAGAGUCUUGUAGAGGGGGUAGG